RNAcentral lists this long non-coding RNA (831 nucleotides) under Parus major (Great Tit). Its description in RNAcentral is "lncRNA (ENSPMJG00000018129.1)". The record is from RNAcentral. Lineage: Eukaryota; Metazoa; Chordata; Aves; Passeriformes; Paridae.
CUAGAGCAGUGGGUCACCUAAUACCGUUCCUGCUGGCAGAACAUGAUGUUCAAUGGAAGGAAACAAUUAUACAGGGCAAUAAACCUGACUUCAAGAUGUCAGAGGAAGAGGAUUCAUAUCUGAAUGUUAAAAGAUCUCUGAAAAGGAGAAUGGUGAAACACAGCACCCCAGUGGACUCAAUGCUUUCAAGAACAACUCCAUCUCUUAUAGAUCUGACAAAUCAGUCAAUCAAGGACCAAGAUGCCACAAAGAGAGUUUAUGGAUCUCCAAUGCCAAAAUCAGAUCUAAGCAGAUCAUUAUCUCAAGUGUCAUCAGUGCGUGUUGAUGCAUACAUCCCUCACAUGUCCCCGAAAAGGCUUUCAACAGCAUUUGAUUUGCAAGAAUUAAAUAAAGAGAAAACUCAAAGCUCUCAGCUUGUAUUUUCUAGAAGGAGGCUUUCUACUGUGUUGGCCUCUGAUGAAUCAAAUCAAGAGCCAGCUCAUAAGGUUGUCCCAGAUAUAGAAACUCAAGCUACCACCAAAACAUCUGUGGAUGCUGCAGCAACUCCCAAGAGUAGACCUUCAUGGCUUGUUUCUGGAAUACCAGGGAUAAAAGAUCCGCUGCCAGCAAAAUCCAGAAAGAAGAAAAUUGAUAAAACUCUUCAGAGAAAGAAAGAAAGAGAAUGGCUGCUUCGUCAACUUAAAAACAUUGAGGAGGCAACUAAACACGAACUGACAAUUGAAGAAAUUUGAUUGGGCCACCUGUGGGAUAAGUGCUGUCACAUUCAUCAUGUUACAACAGUUACAUUCCUGCUAUGGACAAAACUGACUAAUAAAUCACACAACAGCAUCA